UCCCCAGCACUUGCCUGUUAACUCCAGCUCCAGGGGCUCUGAUAUCCUCUUCUGGGCACUAUGGUACCCAUAUACAUGUGUUAUAGAUACACUCAUAUAGACACACACACACACUAAUGAAAAUGAGGCAGAGAAGGGACUGAAUAUCCCAAAAUCGACCUCUGGCUGAAGUGGGUUGGGAGCAUAUGUGCUGUUGGGAGCUGUGCUUCUGGGCUGCUAAUCUGAUCAUAGUGCCUCCUCCCCUUAGUUCCCCACACUGGGGGGUGGAACUUGUAAUCUCAUGCUUGCUGGGCAUGUGCUCUGCCAUUGGUCUCUAUUUCCAAGGUUUUCCUUUUUUUCUUUUUUGUUUUCUUGUUUGUUUUUGACUUUUUUAUUUUGAGACUAUUCAGUAGUCCAAAUUAGCCUUGAACUUGCCCUGUAGCCCAGGCAUCCUUGAAAGUGUCAUUGUCCUACCUCAGCCUCCUGAGUAACUGGGAGUGCAGGACUGUGCUGCUGGCAGACUGAUGAUCUAUUCUUCAUUUGAAUAGAAGACAGUCUGGAGGCACAAAAGCCUGUUAGGAGCUAUGCACGGUGGACCAGGAACAUGGUAGUGAAGGUAUGGACUAAGGCCUUGGGAACAGGAUGUUAGAGGUGUUCUAGCUGCAAAAAUGGUAAACUUUCCAGGUAACUCAGUGUGGGAGUAAAAGAAACAUAAGACCUGAAAAUUACCUUAAACCUUAAAAUCUAAAUAUCUUAGAAGAAAAUGGGAUAUUAAGAAGGAAUCACGUGGUGAUGGGCUAAAAACAGAUGCAUUGUGAGAUACCCAAAGAAAAGUUAGAAAUAGCAGUGUGGCCUGUGGGGUGAGAUGAUCUGUAGCUCAGUAGGACAGUGAUGACUAAGUCUUGCCUUUUGGGGGGUUGGGGUAGAGUCUCACUAUGGAUUUCUGUGAGUUUGAGGUCCACCUGGUCUAUAUAAUGAUUACAGGACAGCUAGGGCUCCUGCUUCCUGCCCUGUUUGAAUUCCUGCCCUGGCUUCCUUCAGUGAUGUAUUAUGACAUGGAAGUGUAAGAAGUAAACCCUCUCCUUCCCAAGUUGCUUUGGUCAUGGUGGUUCGUCACAGCAAUAGUAACCCUAAUUAAGACAGUGGUUAAGAGCCAAAGAUGACCUUGGAUUUCUGAUCUUUCUGCCCCCACCUCUAGAGUACUGGGGUUAUUACCAGCUUAUAGACUGUUUCUUUGUGGUAAUGGGACCAUACAGUAUCAGACCCCCUGUCUUACUAUAAAUUUAAAAUAAAGGUUUCUCAGUGGACUUUUCCCUAGUCAGUCAUCAAGGAACUUUAUUUUCCUCAAAAACUCCCAGCUGUUUUGUAGGGCUCUCUGAAUGUUGACUUUCAGGUAGGCAACACAUUUCAUUUUCACUCCCCUAGUGGUAGAAUAUAGAUGGACUAUGCAGGUACCUUGCUUUCGCGACCCUCAUUACCAGCUGGAUACUAUCAAGCUGUAAUAUUAGGGGAGUGAUCCUUGGAGGGACUCGAAGUCUUCAGAGACCUGAUGCUUGUGAGCUGAGCAAGUCCUCACAGGAGGACUGCAUUUCUCUCGACUACUGAGCAGGAAGUGGCAGCCUGCUCCUUGGCAUGCUGCUCCAAGGGAGGUUCCUCUUUGCCUGGUUUGUGUUUGCCCACUGUGUGUUCUGUAUUACACUACCACACCUCUCUGGCCUGAAAGAACAUUCUAUCCCUGCACAAAGGAAAUAUUGACUUAAGGAAGGGACAGUGGCCCAGUUGCAAACCUGUAGGAGCAGGAGCUGGAGGGAAAUGAGUGAGGAGGUUGUUCUGCUCUUCUGCGGGUGCUGGUUAUGGGAGGCUCUACUGAGAAGUGGGGGAUUACCUCAGGUGUCUACACUGAGGGAUGUGGGAGGUGAUGGAAUGGAAUAAUCAUGUUUUCAACAAGGGUCAGUGGGGUGUUUGGGAGAGCAGCAGUUCUAGAAGGUUAGCAGGAAUGGUCCCUUUAUCAAGGCUUUAUUAAGCACUGUGCUCUGAGAGGAUGGAAACAGGCUCCAGUACCUGGGGAAAUAUACUACGGCAGAUGCAACAGUGCAUGUUGAGAGCCAGGUAGGUAGCAGGGCCAUUAGAUCAUCCAGUAUAAGUCAAGUCAACAAAUUUACACACACACACACACACACACAGACACACACACACACAUCUCGCCCCUUGACAGGAUUUCUCUACAUUGCUCUGGCUUUCCUAAAACUCACUAUGUAGACCAGGCUGGCUUCAGCUGACACUGUGUGCUAGAAUUGAAGGUGUAUGCUACCAUGACUGGCAAUUUAACUUUUUUGUUUGUUUGUUUUUUGAAGAAAAGCAAAAAAAUUUCAAGUCAAGGAGGACAAGCAGAGGUCUUCCCAAGAUGAUUGGUAAUGAUGUUGAUGACAGGAGAUAUUGGCUUUUUUUUUUUUUAGCAUCAGGUUAUAAGAAAAAUUAGUUUCAGCCAGGCAUGGUGGCAUACACUCGGGGGUCAGAGGCAGGUAGAUCUGUGUGAGUUCAAAGCUAGCCUGGUCCACAGACAGAGUUCCAGGACAGCCAGGGGUACACAGAGAAACCUUGUCUUGGAAAACCAAGGGGG
This 2599-nucleotide long non-coding RNA is filed under the name Mus musculus (house mouse). Its description in RNAcentral is "long non-coding RNA chr15:80988264-80990863". The record is from RNAcentral. Lineage: Eukaryota; Metazoa; Chordata; Mammalia; Rodentia; Muridae.